AUUGAACGCUGGCGGCAGGCCUAACACAUGCAAGUCGAGCGUGAAAGCCUUCGGGUGAGUAGAGCGGCGGACGGGUGAGUAACGCGUGGGAAUUUACCUAGUAGUGGGGGACAACGUUCGGAAACGGGCGCUAAUACCGCAUACGCCCUACGGGGGAAAGCGGGGGAUCUUCGGACCUCGUGCUAUUAGAUGAGCCCGCGUAAGAUUAGCUAGUUGGUGGGGUAAAGGCCUACCAAGGCGACGAUCUUUAGCUGGUCUGAGAGGAUGAUCAGCCACAUUGGGACUGAGACACGGCCCAAACUCCUACGGGAGGCAGCAGUGGGGAAUAUUGCACAAUGGGCGCAAGCCUGAUGCAGCCAUGCCGCGUGUGUGAAGAAGGCUCUAGGGUUGUAAAGCACUUUCAGUAGGGAGGAAAGGGUAUAAGUUAAUACCUUAUAUCUGUGACGUUACCUACAGAAGAAGCACCGGCUAACUCCGUGCCAGCAGCCGCGGUAAUACGGAGGGUGCAAGCGUUAAUCGGAAUUACUGGGCGUAAAGCGCGCGUAG
This 546-nucleotide ribosomal RNA is filed under the name uncultured Gammaproteobacteria bacterium. Its description in RNAcentral is "bacterial SSU rRNA". It matches the Rfam family "Bacterial small subunit ribosomal RNA", at positions 28 to 574 of the family's 1533-position model. Lineage: Bacteria; Pseudomonadati; Pseudomonadota; Gammaproteobacteria. The record is from RNAcentral.